UACGUAGGGGGCAAGCGUUGUCCGGAUUUAUUGGGCGUAAAGGGCGCGCAGGCGGCGCUUCAAGUCCGUUGUGAAAUUUCAGGGCUUAACCCUGACGGGUCAACGGAAACUGAAGGGCUAGAGUGCAGCAGAGGAAAGCGGAAUUCCCGGUGUAGUGGUGAAAUGCGUAGAUAUCAGGAGGAACACCGGUGGCGAAGGCGGUUCUCUGGGCAUGUCCUGACGCUGAGGAGCGAAAGUGUGGGGAGCGAACAGG
This 253-nucleotide ribosomal RNA is filed under the name uncultured bacterium. RNAcentral describes it as "partial 16S ribosomal RNA". It matches the Rfam family "Bacterial small subunit ribosomal RNA", at positions 524 to 776 of the family's 1533-position model. The record is from RNAcentral.